This 3852-nucleotide long non-coding RNA is filed under the name Homo sapiens (human). Its description in RNAcentral is "HSALNT0315648". Lineage: Eukaryota; Metazoa; Chordata; Mammalia; Primates; Hominidae. The record is from RNAcentral.
GACCUGGGGUCCCUGCUUCUCCAGGUGCUCCCGGAUUUUGCUCUCUAGCCUCCGGUUCUCGGUCUCCAGGCUCCUCACUCUGUCCAGAUGUGGGCCACCAGCCUUAAGCCAGAGGGAGCUUUGUAAGACAGGAACAUAUAAAAUGAUAAAAGCUUCUCUACGUACAGUUUUCCUGACUCUGAUUCUGCGUGGGACAACCAGUGAAAAUUGCAGGUGAAGAGAAGAAAUGCGUAUUUAUUCCUCCACUGGGAAAAAAAAUACCAUCCAAAGCUACAUGACUUGAGAGACAAGGUCUCACUAUGUUGCCCAGGCUGGCCUCGAACUCCCGGGCUUCAGCAGUCCUCCCGCCUCACCCUCCGAUGUAGCUAGGACUACAGGACCGCGACCCGGCGCUGCCUAAGAACUGUUUUUAAACGUGAAAGCCACGGCUAUCAUUUGCUUUUUGCUCUGCUCUUCAUCUUCUGGAUAAACCUCGUAACACACUGCUUGUUUUGGGGUCCGGCCGCCGGCGCCAAGCCUCAAGGCAUCCAAGCCAGGAACGAUCGCGGUCAGCUCUGCCACGGAACAUGUGCAAGACCCGGCAGCAGGUUCCGGGGGAGGCGAAUUGAUUUCACAACGGUCGAGAAGGAGGACCCCGCCCACUUCGUCAUUUCUCGGAAGCCCAGGGACUCGCCGGAAGAGCGGCUCAAAAGCCGGAAAACUGGCAAAUCCGAGUCUCCCGGCGCAUGCGCGGCGCAAUCGGCUUCGCGUGGUUGCAGUAGAGAGGAUCCCUCCGCCAGCCACUGCAUCCGGCGGCCGGAUCUAACUUACCCGCUAGCGUUUUACCCUUGCGCGGCCGUGGCGUAGGGCGGUCUUUUCCCUUGGUCCUCCGCGGCGCCGCCUCUUGUGACGUAAGCCGCAGAAUCCUCUGUCUUAGUUCGGCUCUAUUGCCGCGAGCUUGACUCUUCCUGGGUCUGAGGAAAAGUAAAAGUAAUUUUGUCAUUUCCUGAAACUUCAAGUUAAACCUUUAAGCUGUUCAUUUCCUAAAAGGGUGAAAACGCGGGCACCCCUCGAGCUAGUUCAUCGCCUUUUAACCUGUUGUUGGAUCUUUCCAGAUCACCACACCACAUCACCCAGCCACUCUGCCCAAUGGGAGGGCAGACAGUGUUCCAGUGUAGGAGGAAGGGGUGUAAGGUGCGGGCAGUUUGUGAGGAGGGCACCAACGAGAGCUACUGUGAGAAAGUCUGCAUGGUCAAAAAGUGGAUUACCAAGAACAAAGCAUCAUAAUGUUGUCCAGUGGACCCCAGGUUGAAAAGUCAGGUUCUGGAAUUGGCUGUCUGGAUUAAAAUACUGGUUCCAUCACUGAGAAGCUGUGUGACCUUGCGAAAAUUACUUAAUCUCUUUGUGUUUCAGUUUUCUGAUCUGUAAAAUGAAGUCAAUAAUGCCCCUUUUCUGAGGCCUCCCUUGGCCAGAUAUGAUUAAAUAUUUAUCAAACUAAGGACUCAGCUUACUUGGAGUGAAAACUCUUCAGGGCCUCUCAGAGAUACCUAAGAUAAGUACCUUAUUUUAGUAGCUCUCAAAUAAAGCUUCUUUUAUGCUCUGUCUUUUUCAUAUAUAAAAUAAGGUCUAAUUAGAAAGUUUUAUAAUGGAGGCAGUCAAUUCCCCAAUUCCUUAUUUGUUUGAAUUAACUUUUAAAAAAUUGGGGUGUUCACUCUGGCGUUGGCUCAAUCCAGACUCUGUAAUCAGCCAACAAUCUGUGCUUCACAAAGGCUGGCGUCCUAACUGCCAGCUUCUGCCAUCCGCACCUUUUCCGUGGGGUAAUACAUUUUAAUUGGUACUUCUCUGAGAGCCCUACACAUCUCCAUCUGGCCAAAUAAACAUACUUUUACUAUUCAGCCUCAACAUCUUGGCAGUUAACAAGAGGACAGACUUGCCACAAUGGGUAAUCUUUAAGAUGCAUAAAAUCCUAAAAUUAAAGGACCAGGUACAGGUGGUAUAAUCAAUGGCUGCCUAGAAGAUGGCUCAUCUACAAAGUGGCUUUGUGUUCCACAGUCUUUUUAACACUGCUCUUGUGAUCCUAAAUGCAGUUCCUGAGCCGAGUCAGCAUUGAGAGCUCUCUCCUCUCAAAGGGCACAUUAGUGAUGAAAUAUUUCACUUCCAAUGACAGCAUAACUUUUUGGAUAUAGGCUUAUUAGCAACGUGUUUCCACUGGUUGGAUUGAGCAAGUGUAACCAGAAGGCAGAAUGGUGAAAUGGUUAAGAGCAUGGGUUCUAGAGUCAGGCUGCGUUCAAAUUCUGCUGCUGUUAAUUUAUCUUUGUGACCUUGGGCAGUUACCAUACCUCUCUGUGCCUCAGUUUCCUCAUCAGUAAAGCAGAGAUAAUGUCAGUAUUUUCCUCAUAAGAGUAUUGCAAGGACUGAUUAAAUGAGAUAAGGUGUCUGAUAUGUUUAGCACAGGGCAUGACUUGUAUUUGCUAACAAUUAUUUUUAGGCAAGGUCAGUAGACCAAAUAACUUGAGCAGCAGAAAGGAAGUGGAAGGCGAAUAACCAGCUAUGAGGUUAUUUCUCAGAUAAUUUCUUCCUAUUUCAAUGCUUCACUUUUUACAGUUUAAUCAUCAAGCAACAGUGUUAGGGAUUACGUGAGAUAAUAUGGUCUGUGUGCUGAUUCACUCAUUUAGUGUGGUCUCAUUUCCUUAAAGAACACAUCUUGAGAGAACACUUUUUUUCUCUCUAACCCUCAGGGUCAUCUGGAUGAAAUGAAUACUUUUAGGGCAAAAUGGCUGAUACUGCUUCCUUGAUAACCACAUAUAGAAAACUGACAACUGUUUAGAACAAAGCCAAAGAUGAAACCAAAUAUAAAACCACUGAUGAAAACUAAGUGAAAAAUAUAAGCAAAAUAGAAGAAAAAUAAGGUCGUUAUUUCAAGAAAACGAAAGACAGUCAAUGCUGUUCUUUGUAUUCACAUACAAUUUGGUUCACACCAAAAUGUGAGUUGUUCUCUAUGAGAUGUUAUUAAAUGUUCCUAAGAAGACUCGCUUUAGAAAAAAACAGUAUUCCUAAGGCAUGUCCAAUCUGUCUCUUUUCUUAAUUGCUAUAGUUCUACUUUAUUAUUAUAAUGUAUUCAGCAUUAAAAUUCAUUAUUUCCCAAUAAGCUUGACUUUAUCUUAUAAUGAAAUACAACUGUCUUCUUGGUGAUUUUUAUAGGAGAUAUUAUGGAAAUAUUUUAUUAACAGAAGUAAAUAAAGUGUCAUAUCAUUUGGCUUUUCAGCCGUGUUAUAACAUUUGCAUUUUGUUUUUUCUGCCUUUACCCUCCCUGCUUCUAGCUGCAUAAAAUAAUGCAUUUUAAAAAUAAAAAUACAUUAUUUUUCAACAUAUGUGUGACAAUAAAAAGAUCACUGGGUCAGGGGUCAGACGAUCUGAGUUCUGCCCUUUCAUUUUCUUAUCUGUAAAAAUGAUUCCUAAGAUUCCUUCUAUUACUAACAUUUUAUAAUCUACAUUCAAAUUUUAUGUGAAAGUUUAGUGCAUCCGAGAUAACUAUUUUCAAAUAAGAAUCUCUUUUGAUGCUAACAUCUAUGCAUCAAAUUCUUCAUUCUCAAGUUGUAAGUUGCUCUUUACAUAAUUUCACCUAUGUACAUAUAUUCUAUAGAAAAAAGAGACAUUCCAGUAUCUUAACAAUGUCAAAAAGGAUAUACUGACACUAACAUUAACUGGAGAUUGGAAGACUAGACAAAUCAAGGCUAGAACUACAUAAGGGAAGCUAUUCUCCCAAAUACGCUGUUUUUGCUGUUGUUUAACCAAAGAUAUCUUCCCUUUCAUUCUUCUUUUUUAAAGCUAAGGAUAUUUAAGACAUUAAUAUGUUUGGCUAACUGAUUAAUA